CAGCAGCGACGUCGACUAGCCAUACUCCUCACAACUCCUGUUUCGUAGCUUAAUCGAAGUCACCUGAAGGACGGCUUUCCUCUGCAACGGCAAGACUCGCACUCCUCUCAUAAUCGUGAAGUUUAACAAGUUUCGCGGCUCAAACAAGAGGCACCUGU
Long non-coding RNA from Carassius auratus (goldfish), 158 nucleotides. RefSeq lists it as uncharacterized. Lineage: Eukaryota; Metazoa; Chordata; Actinopteri; Cypriniformes; Cyprinidae. The record is from RefSeq and is a predicted model, not a curated record. The transcript is spliced from 3 exons.